UGUUAAGCAUGAACCUAUCCCGAACCUGAUUCCUGUAAGAUUGACAACCCUGUCGGAUCUGACUUCUGAAAU
Salmo trutta (river trout) is the source of this 72-nucleotide small nucleolar RNA. NCBI's taxonomy places the organism in Eukaryota, Metazoa, Chordata, Actinopteri, Salmoniformes, Salmonidae. The record is from Ensembl.